Molecule: long non-coding RNA, 649 nt
Organism: Cinclus cinclus
Lineage: Eukaryota; Metazoa; Chordata; Aves; Passeriformes; Cinclidae
Exons: 2
Source: RefSeq, a predicted model, not a curated record
UGCCGGUGCUUUGAACUCGACUCGGCCCGGCCCGGCCUGAAUUGUCAGGGCCCGGAUCGGCUCGGCUCGGUCCUGGACGUCUGGCGGGUCUGCUGCUUUCAAAGCGUCGUGUUCGCUUAAAAAUGGUGUUGUCCCUGGCUGCAGGGUCACGGAGCCAUAGAAUUCAGGAAGGGGCCUGAAACAUGUAGUUCCAGCCACCUACCAUGGAUGGGGACACACGGAUCAGGUUGCUCAGCCCCAUCCAACCUGGCCUUGAACACACUCCGAGAUGCGUCAUCCAGGCCUCCCCGGGCAACCAAUUCAGUGCUUCGCACCCUUGCAAUAAAGACUUCAUAAAUGUCAAACCUGAAUUUUCCCUCAUGCUCCAUUCCCUCUGCCUGUAGUGUGCUCUUCUCUCCUUGCUGGGCCUCUGUAGAGUCUUCUUUCAUUUCUACUUCCUUGGCGCUGCCAGAAAUGCGGGUGCUGCCCGUGGUUAUGUAAUGCAUCUGUCUACAAACAGUUCUGAUGGAGGAAUAAAACUACUAAAGCCAUGUGAUGCAUGACUGCUGAUACACAUGUGUGGGUAAUAGGUAUGAUUUAUUUAGCAGCAUUGUUUCUACUGGCACUGCAUCUUGUAUUAAACAAUAAAGUCUAAACUAGUCUCACACCA